This 396-nucleotide ribosomal RNA is filed under the name uncultured bacterium. RNAcentral describes it as "partial 16S ribosomal RNA". It matches the Rfam family "Bacterial small subunit ribosomal RNA", at positions 523 to 918 of the family's 1533-position model. The record is from RNAcentral.
AUACGUAGGGAGCGAGCGUUGUCCGGAAUUACUGGGUGUAAAGGGAGCGUAGGCGGGAGUGCAAGUCAGAUGUGAAAUACAUGGGCUCAACCCAUGGGCUGCUUUUGAAACUGCAUUUCUUGAGGGAAGUAGAGGUAAGCGGAAUUCCUGGUGUAGCGGUGGAAUGCGUAGAUAUCAGGAGGAACACCGGUGGCGAAGGCGGCUUACUGGGCUUUUACUGACGCUGAGGCUCGAAAGCGUGGGGAGCAAACAGGAUUAGAUACCCUGGUAGUCCACGCUGUAAACGAUGAUUACUAGGUGUGGGGGGACUGACCCCUUCCGUGCCGCAGUUAACACAAUAAGUAAUCCACCUGGGGAGUACGGCCGCAAGGUUGAAACUCAAAUGAAUUGACGGGG